Molecule: long non-coding RNA, 3216 nt
Filed under: Canis lupus familiaris (dog)
Lineage: Eukaryota; Metazoa; Chordata; Mammalia; Carnivora; Canidae
Description: lncRNA (ENSCAFG00845000163.1)
Source: RNAcentral
UUUUUUUUUUUUUUUCUUAAGAUGUUAUUUAUUUAUUCAUGAGAGACACACAGAGAGAGGCAGAGACACAGGCAGAGGGAGAAGCAGGCUCCCCAGAGGGAGCCUGAUGCAGAACUCGAUCCCAGGACCCUGGGAUCAUGCCCUGAGCCAAAGGCAGACACUCAACCACUGAGCUACCCAGGCAUCCCGCUCCAUGCCCAUCUUAUAUAUUUAAUGCCCCAGUCCCAGAAUUAGCCAUUUUCUCAAGAAGCUCUGGUUCCUUUUCCUAGAGAAUGGUUUUAGAUACCAAGAUCUGGGCCCUAGCUGUGCUUAUUGCUACUGGGUGUUGUUACUUCUAGGCACUCUUAGGGUAUAGUGCUGUGAACUAGUAUGUGUUUAUACUACCACACAUGUACCUGUAUAUCGAUAUUAUUUCUCUGUCUGUAUCCAUCUGUGUCUGUAUUAAGCUAAACAUGGGCUCAUACUUCUGGCUGAUUCUCAUCCAGUACUGCAUGGUUCAUUCUAGCUUCUCACUUUGCUUAGCUGAAACCUGUCGUUCCAACAGUGAGAGACUUCCACCACCCACCAUACAUUUCCUCAUGCUCAGUUUUGGUGAGAGUGCUAGAAAAUUGACACUGUUGGUGCUAUUGGUGUGAGUGUUGGUACAGCCUUUGUGGAAUGCACUUAGGUAGACUAUGUCAAAAACCUUAAAGGUAUCAGCUGGUCAAAGGUUGGAGCAUCAGUUUAGUCUCCAAGGCAGGGAAGGUAGGAGCAGAGUCCCCAGGUGAGAGGAGGGUAGCAGCACUGAGAGGCAGAACACAGACUCAAAUUAGCAGCCCUCAUUACCCCCUGCAGACGAUUGAGAGCCAACGUUUCCCAUCAACCCUCACCUGCAGACCUGUAGCUGAUGGUAAUAGGGAAGCAAAACAUUUGAUGGGUGAGUGCUGCAAAUUCAAUUCUUCAUUAGACAUGUUUUCUUGAUGUUUUUAAAAGGGAUUUGUUCAUGGUUUACCUCUGAGAACAGAUGACUGAUAAUCGUUGGGAAUCCAUUAUUAUUUGAAAUUUAAAAACCAAAGAUAUACUCCUAUUCAUGGAGAGUUUACAAUCUAAAUUGUGAGGUUUUUAUUUAUUUAUUUAUUUUAAGAGGGAGAGAGAGGGAAGGGUGGGACAGAGGGAGAGGGAAAGAGAGAAUCUUAAGCAGGCUCUAUGCCCAAUGCAGACCCCGACAUGGGGCUCGAUCUCACCACCCUGAGAUCAGGACCUGAGCAUUGGAUAUAAAGAGUUGGAUGCUUAACCAACUGAGCCACCCGGGCACCUUGAUAUUGUGAGAUUUAUGCCCGUAAAUGAUCAACCUGAAAAACAACUCAGGCAUUUUUUGUUAAAAACAAACAAACAAACAAAAUACCUGGGACAAACAGCCAAAUAUUCCACUCUGGUUACUGAGCCCUUCCAGGUGCCGUGUGUUGUCACAGCAUCUGCACUGGUCACCUCUGAAGCUGCUGCUUCCUCACAGUACACGUGUGGUAUGUGACACAAACAUAGGAGCUGGAGUAGAGAAUUCCAUAGACUUUUUUCAAAGUAUCAACUACAAAGGGACAGAAGUCUGUUGAAGUAAGAGAGAGAAGAGUACCUAAUUCCUAACAAGAAAUAAUAAUUGUAAACUAUCAUUGUUUAUCUGAGAAGGGAUUAGUGAGGAUUCACGUAUCAAAAUGAACUCCCCCAAGUUUCUCUCUGCUCUUAAUUUGAUAGGUAUGUUGCUAAGACUUUGAAGGAAUUGCUGUGAUAGUUCAAUUCUUUGGUGCUAGGGAGAAUCUGGGGGAGGAGAGGCCAUCCAGGUGAGCUGGAGGGAAGAGGAGGAAAGAGUAUUUACUACUUCUUCCAGGUGGUUUGGGGAAGAUAAGUCAAAUUUGGAGAAAACUAUAAAAAAAUUUAAUUAAGUUGUGGCUACAUCUGAAGAACAGGAUUUCCCUUCAAAGCAGGAAUUGUGGGAGAUGUUCAAGUUGGCUGGCUGUGUAUUCUAACAACAAUCAUACUAAUUGUAAUUAUUUGUAGGUUAUAAACAACUGAAAGGGCGUCUGAAAGCCAAGUUUUAGAUAAAGUAGAACAAUUGAGAGAGGAAAUAGAACUCUGAGGUGUAGAAGGCAUUCUGCAAAAUCCCCAGGUGUAGUCACAGUGUCACCAUCCAGUCAUGGUUUAUGUUUGGAAGGAGAACAAUAGGGCAACAAAAGUCAAAAGAUAUUGAAUUGGCAUUUAAAAAAAUGAAGUGCAUUGUUUUCCAAAAAGUUCCCUUGUUUACCUGUGUGUUGCAAAGAAGUUACCAUUCAUUCAUGAUUCUCUGCACGCCUCCAUACCUCCCAGAGAUUUGGUUAAAACCCCCAUCACUCCCUGGAUUCCCAUAUAACACUCUCCACUGAUGCCUGCACCAAGGUAUAUUACUAGGAGUGGUGUUGUGCAGGCUAACUGAAGUUGGGAAGCCCUCUGGCACAGACAAGGCUAAUCAUUUAAAGAAAAGGGCAAGCGGAUGGCAGCCUGGGUGGCUCAGCGGUUUGGUGCCUGCCUUGGGCCCAGGGCGUGAUCCUGGAGUCCCAGGAUCGAGUCCCACGUCGGGCUCCCUGCAUGGAGCCUGCUUCUCCCUCUGCCUGUGUCUCUGCCUCUCUCUGUGUCUAUCAUAAAUAGAUAAAUUAAAAAAAAAAAGAAAAGAAAAGGGCAAGGGGCUUGUUGUUGAGCCACGGGCAUCUUGAACAGUUAUUCUAGCUUAAACCUGUAUCAGUCAUGUAUGACAACAGGUGGGUGGUCCCUUUAUGGGUCCAUGUUACUGGAAAGAACUAAGGGAACUGUGAUGAUUUCAUCCUGCAGGGAAGGUGAAAUGGGCAUCUUAGAGAGCCUUGGACUAGUGUCUGAGAGGGUUGGUGAUUCUCUGUAGAGUUCAUCAGUGUCCUCCCAACCACGGCCCUUUGAACUAAGGCUUGGGUUGUCUGUACAAGGGAAAUGAGGCAAGCACAAGGAAAGAACAGUAGAAGUUAGGAGAUUUGAGAUAUAAGAUGACAAGCAUCAGCCUUGAUGGUGCUCAUUUUUGGUGAUGGGAAAUGGAACUCUAGACCCUAUAGCAGGGACCUCAAUAUUGAGGGUAGGAGACUAGUAGCCAUUGGUUGUUGAACUAUCACUUAUAUGCAAUGCACAAGACAUCAUCACACAGAACUAGAUCAGGGUAGGACAAAGAAGGACCAUGAUGUGCCA